CGUCAAAUCAUCAUGCCCCUUAUGAUCCGGGCUACACACGUGCUACAAUGGGCUGUACAGAGGGAAGCGAAGGAGUGAUCUGGAGCAAAUCCCAAAAAGCAGCUCUCAGUUCGGAUUGCAGGCUGCAACUCGCCUGCAUGAAGCCGGAAUCGCUAGUAAUCGCAGAUCAGCAUGCUGCGGUGAAUACGUUCCCGGGCCUU
This 200-nucleotide ribosomal RNA is filed under the name uncultured organism. RNAcentral describes it as "partial small subunit ribosomal RNA". It matches the Rfam family "Bacterial small subunit ribosomal RNA", at positions 1183 to 1382 of the family's 1533-position model. The record is from RNAcentral.